AAUGUUAAUCUAAUUCUAUUUUCGAUUUUAAAAAGUACCUCUUUUAAACUUUGGCGAUAAACAUGGAUUUGGGAAAAAUUGUUGUCUUAGAUGAAGUGGAACUGUUUUUAUAUAUACUCUACAUUUUUUCCGCACUCUACAUAAUCUUCUCUGCUAUUAUGUAUCACAUUUGCGAAACGAAAGCUUUUAGGACUUAUCAACAAAUUUCUUGUUUGAGCUUAUCUGACGAUGAUCAAAAUGUUGCUACCUCAGACAUUACUGAAGAAAACUAAAAGAUUGUACCGUAAAUAUUCCAAUUUUUCUGUAGAGCUCCUUCUCAAAAAUGUGCAGUGAAAGUUGAAAGUUUUCCUAAGCAAUUAAAUUUAAUUAUUGGACGAAGCCAAAACAGACUUAAGAGUAAAUUACACAUUUUUGCAAUUUAAUGGAAUCUUCGACUACAAAUCAACUUCACAAAAUUCAGAAGAUAUAGAAAUAUGGAAGGAGUUCUAUAUCAAUUAGCAGAGUAUCCGAAACAAAGUUAAGCAGGAAGUUAUUGUAACAUAUAAUAUAACUAAAAUCAAAAUUAAGCAAUAAUCUAAACAGGAUACAAUUUUUUUAUACACAAAAU
Molecule: long non-coding RNA, 607 nt
Organism: Teleopsis dalmanni
Lineage: Eukaryota; Metazoa; Arthropoda; Insecta; Diptera; Diopsidae
Exons: 4
Source: RefSeq, a predicted model, not a curated record